This 751-nucleotide ribosomal RNA is filed under the name uncultured Chloroflexota bacterium. RNAcentral describes it as "bacterial SSU rRNA". It matches the Rfam family "Bacterial small subunit ribosomal RNA", at positions 578 to 1339 of the family's 1533-position model. The record is from RNAcentral. Lineage: Bacteria; Bacillati; Chloroflexota.
GUCUCGUAAGUGGGAUGUGAAAUCUCCUGGCUCAACUGGGGGGGGCCAUUCCAUACUGCGAGGCUUGAGGACAGAAGAGGGAAGCGGAAUUCCCGGUGUAGUGGUGAAAUGCGUAGAUAUCGGGAGGAACACCAGUGGCGAAGGCGGCUUCCUGGCCUGCUCCUGACGCUAAGAGGCGAAAGCUAGGGGAGCGAACGGGAUUAGAAACCCCGGUAGUCCUAGCCGUAAACGAUGGAUACUGGGUGUCGGUGGUCCUAACCCCAUCGGUGCCGAAGCCAACGCGUUAAGUAUCCCGCCUGGGGACUACGGCCGCAAGGUUAAAACUCAAAGGAAUUGACGGGGACCCGCACAAGCAGCGGAGCGUGUGGUUUAAUUCGAUGCAACACGAAGAACCUUACCAAGGCUUGACAUGUUGGAAGUAGGAACCUGAAAGGGGGACGACCUGUAAAGUCAGGAGCCAUCACAGGUGCUGCAUGGCUGUCGUCAGCUCGUGCCGUGAGGCGUUGGGUUAAGUCCCGUAACGAGCGCAACCCUUAUUGCCAGUUACCUUCUCUGGCGAGACUGCCCCGCAAAACGGGGAGGAAGGUGGGGAUGACGUCAAGUCAGCAUGGCCUUUAUGCCUUGGGCCACACACACGCUACAAUGGAUGGUACAAAGGGGAGCAAUGGAGCGAUCCGGAGCCAAUCCUAAAAGCCAUCCUCAGUUCAGAUUGCAGGCUGAAACUCGCCUGCAUGAAGGCGGAGUUGCUAGU